AGAUUGAACGCUAGCGGGAUGCUUUACACAUGCAAGUCGAACGGCAGCGCGGACUUCGGCCUGGCGGCGAGUGGCGAACGGGUGAGUAAUAUAUCGGAACGUGCCCAGUAGCGGGGGAUAACUACGCGAAAGCGUGGCUAAUACCGCAUACGCCCGUACGGGGGAAAGGGGGGAUUCUUCGGAACCUCUCACUAUUGGAGCGGCCGAUAUCAGAUUAGCUAGUUGGUGAGGUAAAGC
This 237-nucleotide ribosomal RNA is filed under the name uncultured soil bacterium. RNAcentral's name for it is "partial 16S ribosomal RNA". It matches the Rfam family "Bacterial small subunit ribosomal RNA", at positions 26 to 263 of the family's 1533-position model. The record is from RNAcentral.